AAAAAAGAUCUUGAAAAUAUUGCAUGGAUUUACAGAAAAAAUCAUCACGGAAAGAAAACUUUAUCACGAACGCACUAAUGGUCAAUAUUUAAGAAACCUUAAAGAUGACAAAGAGACGGAGACAGAUCAUGCAGAAACAUUUGGAA
This is a non-coding RNA of Nylanderia fulva, 146 nucleotides long. NCBI's taxonomy places the organism in Eukaryota, Metazoa, Arthropoda, Insecta, Hymenoptera, Formicidae. The record is from RefSeq and is a predicted model, not a curated record.